RNAcentral lists this ribosomal RNA (440 nucleotides) under uncultured bacterium. RNAcentral describes it as "partial 16S ribosomal RNA". It matches the Rfam family "Bacterial small subunit ribosomal RNA", at positions 338 to 795 of the family's 1533-position model. The record is from RNAcentral.
GCUACGGGGGGCUGCAGUGGGGAAUAUUGGACAAUGGGGGGAACCCUGAUCCAGCGACGCCGCGUGAGUGAAGAAGUAUUUCGGAAUGUAAAGCUCUAUCAGCAGGGAAGAAAAUGACGGUACCUGACUAAGAAGCCCUGGCUAACUACGAGCCAGCAGCCGCGGUAAUACGUAGGGGGCAAGCGUUAUCCGGAUUUACUGGGGGUAAAGGGAGCGUAGACGGUGCAGCAAGUCUGAUGUGAAAGGUCGGGGCUCAACCCCGGGGCGGCAUUGGAAACUGUUGAACUGGAGUACAGGAGAGGUGAGCGGAAUUCCAAGUGUAGCGGUGAAAUGCGUAGAUAUAAGGAGGAACACCAGUGGCGAAGGCGGCUUACUGGACUGUAACUGACGUUGAGGCUCGAAAGCGUGGGGAGCAAACAGGAUUAGAUACCCGAGUAGUC